GGGGUGCUCGAGUGGCGAACGGGUGAGUAACACGUGAGUAACCUGGCCUUGACUUUGGGAUAACUUCAGGAAACUGGGGCUAAUACCGGAUAGGAGCUCCUGCUGCAUGGUGGGGGUUGGAAAGUUUCGGCGGUUGGGGAUGGACUCGCGGCUUAUCAGCUUGUUGGUUGGGUAGUGGCUUACCAAGGCUUUGACGGGUAGCCGGCCUGAGAGGGUGACCGGCCACAUUGGGACUGAGAUACGGCCCAG
Molecule: ribosomal RNA, 249 nt
Filed under: uncultured Actinomycetales bacterium
Lineage: Bacteria; Bacillati; Actinomycetota; Actinomycetes; Actinomycetales
Description: partial 16S ribosomal RNA
Rfam family: Bacterial small subunit ribosomal RNA
Source: RNAcentral